This 468-nucleotide ribosomal RNA is filed under the name uncultured bacterium. RNAcentral's name for it is "partial 16S ribosomal RNA". It matches the Rfam family "Bacterial small subunit ribosomal RNA", at positions 28 to 507 of the family's 1533-position model. The record is from RNAcentral.
GACGAACGCUGGCGGCGUGCUUAACACAUGCAAGUCGAACGGAAAGGCCCUGCUUUUGUGGGGUGCUCGAGUGGCGAACGGGUGAGUAACACGUGAGUAACCUGCCCUUGACUUUGGGAUAACUUCAGGAAACUGGGGCUAAUACCGGAUAGGAGCUCCUGCUGCAUGGUGGGGGUUGGAAAGUUUCGGCGGUUGGGGAUGGACUCGCGGCUUAUCAGCUUGUUGGUGGGGUAGUGGCUUACCAAGGCUUUGACGGGUAGCCGGCCUGAGAGGGUGACCGGCCACAUUGGGACUGAGAUACGGCCCAGACUCCUACGGGGGGCAGCAGUGGGGAAUAUUGCACAAUGGGCGGAAGCCUGAUGCAGCAACGCCGGGUGCGGGAUGACGGCCUUCGGGUUGUAAACCGCUUUCGCCUGUGACGAAGCGUGAGUGACGGUAAUGGGUAAAGAAGCACCGGCUAACUACGUG